GCCGGGUGAGGUGGUGCGUGCCUGUAGUCCCAACUACUCGGGAGGCUGAAGCUGGAGGGUCGCCUGAGCCCAGGAGUUCUGGGCUGUAGUGCACUAUGCCCAUCAGGUGUCCUCACUAAGUUCGGCAUCAAUAUGGUGACCUCCCUGGAGUGGGGGACCACCAGAUUGCCUGAGGAGGGGUUAACUGGCCCAGGUCGGAAAUGGAGCAGGUCAAAACUCCCGUGCUGAUCAGUAGUGGGAUCCCGCCUGUGAAUAGCCACUGCACUCCAGCCUGGGCAACAUAGCGAGACCCUGUCUCU
This 299-nucleotide signal recognition particle RNA is filed under the name Cebus imitator (Panamanian white-faced capuchin). RNAcentral's name for it is "Metazoan signal recognition particle RNA (ENSCCAG00000013533.1)". It matches the Rfam family "Metazoan signal recognition particle RNA". Rfam says of the family: The signal recognition particle (SRP) is a universally conserved ribonucleoprotein. It is involved in the co-translational targeting of proteins to membranes. Lineage: Eukaryota; Metazoa; Chordata; Mammalia; Primates; Cebidae. The record is from RNAcentral.